Molecule: ribosomal RNA, 253 nt
Filed under: uncultured bacterium
Lineage: Bacteria
Description: partial 16S ribosomal RNA
Rfam family: Bacterial small subunit ribosomal RNA
Source: RNAcentral
UACGUAGGGUCCGAGCGUUGUCCGGAAUUAUUGGGCGUAAAGAGCUCAUAGGCGGUUUGUUGCGUCCGCUGUGAAAUCCCGAGGCUCAACCUCGGGUCUGCAGUGGGUACGGGCAGACUGGAGUGCGGUAGGGGAGAAUGGAAUUCCUGGUGUAGCGGUGGAAUGCGCAGAUAUCAGGAGGAACACCGAUGGCGAAGGCAGUUCUCUGGGCCGUAACUGACGCUGAGGAGCGAAAGCGUGGGGAGCGAACAGG